AUAUCCCUGUGAAACCAACAAGACAAAAGAAAGAGAAAGAAGAAGAAAACUGAUUUAGGGGUUUCCUUCUCAGGGGUUCCUCACUGAUGAUGUGUUAGAGAGUUACUCAAACUCUGGAUCUGCUAGGAAUAUAUAGUCCAGCCCCUUAGGUUUUCCCCAACCCUAGCAGCGGUUACGUAAGUGAGAGAUUUUAGGUGAGCAUUAAAGCUCGUAACUGGAAGUGGGCUCCCCUUACAGUUACGAUAUGAAUGGGUAGGGCUCAUGGCCACUACCACUACCCAACAUCUCCCACUUGGCCAUGAGACCGCCAGUUUGCUUCCACUCUAUGUGGGUUUUCUUUAUUCAAUUUGUUACGUGGUUUUUCAUAAUUGGCUUUUCCAACGCAACCUAACCUUUUUCAAGGUUUACAGCGAGGUUUUCCAUUCAAUGGUUUUUCCUUUGCAACCUUUCAAAUAUUCAAUAUAUAUCACAUUAUAUCAUAUUAAAACUUAGUCCCAUCAAGAAUUCUCUUGAUUAUAAUACUAGCAAUCAUAUAAGCAUUUGGAACGUGCAUGCAUAUUUUCUUCUUAUUCAACAAUGAAAUCAACCUGAAUAUUUUUCAACCACCUCACAAAGAGGCAAACCAGGAAUUUCUUAGCCUCAUACGGGCUACAUGCUUGACAAAUCAUUUAGAAUUCCUUUUGUUAAAAAAUGCUAACAAUCACUUGAAUAUAUCAUUUGUUUCAUUCAUGUAUCUCAAACAUUUAACUGCCAUAAAACAAGGGUCAGCCUGGACUUUUUUAAUGUAUACUUACAAGCCAAAUUAGAAGCUUGUACCAAGUCCAGCACACAAACUAAUAUGCAUUAAAACACAUGGAAUAUUUUCCUUUACUGUAUUCCAUAAUUACUUAACUCCUUUAACAACAGGAGUUCCAUAGCAUUUAUGCAAUGCAUUAUAUCAUAUGGCAAAGCAAUAUUAGCUUUUCAACAUAGUAAAUGGCAUAUUCAAGUGUGCUCCUACUUAUCAAAUAUUUACAUAGUCAUCAACUUGAUUAGCGACACCUAAUCUUUAUUUAUUUAAGGGAAUGAGCAAUCAACCCAUAGUCUAUUAUACAAGCACUUUUCAUCUUGUAUAAUUUUCAUCAAUGUACUCUCUCAUACAAUGAGUUUCAUUUAACUCAUCAAGGUCAAUACAUAAUUUUGACAACUCAUGCAUGCAAUAUACAAUUCACAUAUCUCUACAUAUGUAUACCACAAGAUAAUCAAUAAGAUCACUAAUAAGCUUCAGUUAGACGUUUAAUACCAAACUGAUCUUAGUCGGUUCAUUACCUGACCGCUUAUUAGCAUAUUCAAUCAAGUAAACUUGAUCACCAAAUAAAUAGUCAGUUUUUGUACAUGCAACAAUUAUUCACAUAUAAUCAUGGAGCUCAGUACCCAGUCGGUUCAUUACCAGACUGAUCAUCAUAAGAAUCGUACACAAUUGAUUCAUUAUUAAAUUGUUUCACAGUCGGUUCAUUGCCAGACUGUUAUCCAGUUGGUUCAUUGCCAAACUGUUCCUCAGUCGGUUCAUUGUCAGACUGAUUAUCUGAAUAAAUCAGAUCCUCCAAUAGAUCGUUAUGAUCUCCCACUGGAUUAUUGUAUUCAGUAUUCUUAUUCGAACACUUCAAACUCAUGCAUAAAAAGAAAAUGUCAUAUACCAUACUUUCAUUUGGGUAUCCAAUAUAUAUGUAUUUGCAAACACAUCGUUUCAUUUUUAGAUAUGCAUUUAGCAUGCAUUAUAGAUCUCCAAGGAUCUCAAUAUGGAUCUAAUUAGUGUGGAUCUCAUUAUUUUCAUGAGUAUUAUUUUAUACCUCAUGGAAAAUUUAAAAUUAAAUUGGUCCUCAAACAGAAACUUGCUUAAUAGCAAGCUAGCUUUGUUUGAUCCUCAAACGAACAAAUAACAUAAUAUGCUUGGAUCUAAUAUAAACAAGAUAUGGAUGUUUAACCAUAUAUCCAAAUAUAUAUUCAAAUCUGAAUCAAUGGUGUAUAUAAGGUGGAUCUCAAACAAUGAAUAGAUCCAAUUCCAAAAGCCACAUGAAUAUAAAGAUUCAGAUUAUAUUAGUGUAGAUCCAAACCAGAAACAUCCACAAUACAAUUAAUAUGAGUUUAAAACACAUGAUCCUCAUUGAAAUAUUAUACAAUAUGAUUCAACAACCAUAUUUGGAUCAUUGCUAACCCAUCUCUCUUUUGAGAAAAACAAGUUAUCAUGUAUUAACACUUUAGUUCUACAAAGCUUCAAACAAAUGCAUUCUUGCCAAUAUUAAUUUUGGUCCAAGAGUAUUAUAUUACAUCUCUUGAGUAUGCAUUAAAACAAAUUCAUUUUCCUAAGAAAGAAAGGCAAAUGAAGCUUUAUUCAAUGAUUUUCAAAAAUAACCUUUGGAUCUAGAAUGACAACACGUAUUGCAGUAUGAUCAUAUCCAAAGGCAACCAUGAUAACAUAUAUUGGAACUAAAACAACAGGAUAUAUGAAUUAUUCUCACAUAUCCAAACAAGUUAGUUUAGAUCUGCAGCUAAACUUUACGUAAUGUGGAUUUUAUUAGUUCAAAUAUGGAAAUUCAGAUCCAACUAGCAAUAUCCACAAUACAAUAGUCUGAAUUUAAAAAACACAAAUGAUCCAUAUGAAGUAUUGUGCACUAUGAUUUCAAUAACCAUGCUUGGAUCUAAACAAUAGUCCAACUUUUGAACAAGGUGAAAACAAGAAAAAUUCCUCUACCUUGAGAUGAUGCAUGUUUGUACCCAAACUAAUCCAUCACCCUUAAGAGCAAAUAAAGCAAGUCUUUAAAUCAAGACAUUCAAAUUUAUACGGGUUUCAGUCCAAGAGUGUUACAUUACACCUCUUGAAUAUAUAUUUUAAAACAAGUUGACUUCAUUAAUGGAGUAAAUAAAGCCUUGUUCAAUAGCACUCUAGAAUGAUUUGAAUCUAAAAGGACAACAAAUAUCACAAUAUCAUUGGAUCCAAAAAGCAAACAUGAUAUAUUGUGUUUAGUAACAGUACGAGAAUUUGGAUCCAAUGAUUCAACCAAGUUAAUUUGGAUCUUAAUGUAUCACGACCCAACAUAAUGUUAUAAGGAUCUCACCAUGUCUAAGAGUGUUGAUUUACACCUCUUAGCAUAUCAACAUGUAAUAACAUAAUCAUUCCUUCUAACUGGAAUUCAUCUUUAGCACUCUAGUGUUACACAUUGAAAAUGUACAACUUGUAAAACUAUUAGCUCUAAAAAUCAAUGUUCAUCAUAAUAUGUUUAGAUCUAAUAUAAGCAAUAUAUAGAUCUUGAACAAGUCAAAUUAGAUCAUGCUCCAAAAGAGUGCAACGUUUAGUGUGAGAUCCAAAUUCAACAACUAAAUGGAUAUUUAAAACAAAACUUUGGUCAUAUCUAAUAUAUGCAUAGACCCAAAAUGACGAAGAAUAUUCAUAAAUCAAGUAUAAUAACAUAUACUUGAACCAACAUAAACAUGAUAUAGAUUUUUAACCAAUAACCAAACAAAUUUAGAUCUGAAUAUGUCAUGAUUCAAACUGAAUCCAAAUAUGGAUUUAAGCAACAAUCAGAUCCAAAGCACAAAAUUCAAAUAUUGAUUUAGUUUCAGAUCUUACCCAUGUCGAUCCACACACAAUAAUAUCAAUACUAAUUGAUAUGUGUUUAAACAAAUAAAGAGGAUCAAAAUCCAAAAUGAAUGUGUUUCAACACCAUAUCCAUAUCCAAAUAAGAUUUUAGUUAGUGUACAAGCAUAGAGUUUAUACCGCCAUUUGAUCAUGCAUCCAUAAAUAACAAAACUGCAUAAAUACAUGUUAUAAACCAUGUAGUUUUUUGUUUUUGACCAAUUUUGAGGCUCCCACUCUAAAAGCCAUUACCAAAUUAAUUCCAUGACAAAUAUAGAACAAUAAUACAUGGAAAUCAAUAAGGAGAAUAAUAUAUCAAAUAUCUCCAAAACCAGGUAUCACUUAAAUAAGGAAAAGUCAUAUUAAAAUUUUAGACCGAGAGUUUCCUUUCUCAUUUUCAAAAUUGCCUUUAGAACUCUUUUCUGUAAUUUUAAUAAGCCUGAGUGGUACUUGUAUGCAAUUUUACAAUAUAGCUCGGUCUUUCACCGAAAUUGCAAAACAAUCUUCUGGAACCCUCUUUUAGAAAAUUAUAAUAAGUCUGUGGGUAUUACGACGCAAUUUCAUAUAAAAUCACGGACUUCUACUGAAAUUGUAAAAUAAUUUAUCGGAACCCUCUUUUAGAAAUUUAUAAUAACUCAGGGGGUACCCUACGCAAUUUCAUAUAAAUUUCUAGGUUUUCACCAAAAUUAAGUUUCGCAAACCUCUUUCUGAAAAAGUUUUUAUCAAAAACGUUGCGGCAUUAAUUUAUCAAAAUUGUAACAACUUUUUUGAAAAUUAUGCAAAACUGGUGGACUGAUUUUGUAAUUUUCACACUUUUGGUAUAAAUACCCCUCCGAACCGUUUUUCACUCAUUUUUCUGCUCGAUACUCUCUCUCCUCUCGCGUGAACCCUUUCUCCUCUUGCGAGAGCUGCGCGAGGGUUUCACAUUGCAGCUUCUUCCUGCCCACCGAUGCCUUCAGCCGCCGCCUCCUCCUUCUCUGCCCUCGCUCUUUCUCUGUUGACACCUUGAGGAAGACAACUUCCCCAAACCAGAAGCUUUAAAAAAUGGCUUCCUCAGUCUCGCUUUCGCUGAGACAACGGUGAACCGGCAGACUACAGAGGAACGACAGGAGGAGGUUUCCAAGGCGUAACGCUGUCUUCCCCUUUACCCAAGUCGCCUCCUUGCUUUCAGCAAGAGAUCUGUGCUUCUCGCACGAGGAAGACGACUGUCUUCCAGUCGAUCGGGCGACUGCUACUUUUCAUCGGUAGAGAAGGCGGGCAGACAGGUCGAGAUCAAGAAAGGAUUUUAAGUCCCAACAAAAAACAGUAACUGUUCCUCCGGUUUUGACAGACAGGAGAAUCCCGGCUCUUUUCCAGGUAGCCGUUGGGUCAGUUUCUCAAACAAGAGCAAAGGAAUUGGGUGCAGGUUAGGAGAUAUGCUUUGAAGGUAAUUGAUUGGGGAGCAGCUAGCUGGAAUUGCAUUUGCUGUAGGUGAAUGCAUAUUGAAGUCACGUUCAGUUAAAGACUGAUGCAUGCUGAAGCAACUUGAAGAUUGCAGCAGCAGAUGAGCUACUGAAUUGAAACGGGCACAUACUGCUGAACUAUAUUGGCUGAGUAGAGACUUAGGUGACUGCAUCUACUGAUUGUGGCAAGUUGGGAUGAGAGCCCAACUGCAAUGGACAACACAGACUGGGCUUAUUUCUAUUUUAGAUAGUAGCUGAUUGAUGCUGCACUUGUGAAAAUUGAUGCAUGCUGGCGCUGGGUUGGUUAAGAUUUGAAAAUAGAAGAACACACCCACAUGGGCUGAUUUUAAUUGAUGUUUUUAAAAGCGGUCAGCUUUAAUUAGGCUGGUCUGGUUCUUCCUUAGAAACUUAAGAUUCUUUUGCCAAAACGAAACAACUUAAAGAAAAAAUUGAGUAGAGUGGUGACUUUGAGAUGAAAGAUCUCAGGGCAGCAAAGAAUAUUUUGGGCAUGGAUUGUACCUAUCAUAGAAAAAGUAUGUGGAGAAGGUGGUAAAGCAGUUCGGCAUGAAAGAUUGCAAAGCCAUUAGUGAUCCAUUAACAGCUUACUUCAGAUUGCCUGAGAAACAUAGUACGCAUUCGACCGGAUAUUUCUCAAGCUAUAAGUGUUGUUAGCAUCUACAUGGGAAAUCUAGGGAAGGUCCAUUGGGAGGCUUUAAAGUGGAUUCUUUGUUAUCUCAAAGGACACAAUGGUUGUUCAAAAGAUCUCUACAAUGGAGACCCAACGGACCUGUUGAUGAAAUCUAUUCCUUCAUAAAAGUUCAGGAAUUGCUUGGACUUAAUUCACUUGCACGGCAGGUAAUGCGGGCCUUAACAUAGCACAUGUGCAAUGAUGGUGAUCAGGAUGAAGCUUGAUGCUGGAUGCGGCUUAUGAAGAAGAACCAAGAGAAGAAUUUGUUGUUUUAUGGCUCAUCUUCCUUGUUGAACAUAGGUUAGUGGUUUCCAUCUUCCAUGGGACAUGGGGAAUAAAUAGUUUCAGUCUCCACUUUUCAUGGGAACAUAAGAGUGGGUAGUCAGCAACUUCGUAAUUAAGACUGAGGUGAAGGGAAAGAGUGAGUGAGUUUUUGUAAAGAGAAUUUGUUUGUCUUGGGUUAAGUGUUCUACUCUUGUGUAAUUCUUCAUAUUCAGUAAAGUUCUUCUGAUCGUUGUUGCCUAUGGAUGUAGGAAGGCACCCUUCUUCUCAAUCACGUAAAUCAUGUCUUAUUUUAACACAUAC
Nymphaea colorata (pocket water lily) is the source of this 6328-nucleotide long non-coding RNA. RefSeq lists it as uncharacterized. The record is from RefSeq and is a predicted model, not a curated record. NCBI's taxonomy places the organism in Eukaryota, Viridiplantae, Streptophyta, Magnoliopsida, Nymphaeales, Nymphaeaceae. The transcript is spliced from 3 exons.